This 253-nucleotide ribosomal RNA is filed under the name uncultured bacterium. RNAcentral describes it as "partial 16S ribosomal RNA". It matches the Rfam family "Bacterial small subunit ribosomal RNA", at positions 524 to 776 of the family's 1533-position model. The record is from RNAcentral.
UACGAAGGGGGCUAGCGUUGCUCGGAAUCACUGGGCGUAAAGCGCACGUAGGCGGCUUUCUAAGUCAGGGGUGAAAUCCUGGAGCUCAACUCCAGAACUGCCUUUGAUACUGGAGAGCUUGAGUCCGGAAGAGGUGAGUGGAACUCCGAGUGUAGAGGUGAAAUUCGUAGAUAUUCGGAAUAACACCAGUGGCGAAGGCGGCUCACUGGUCCGGUACUGACGCUGAGGUGCGAAAGCGUGGGGAGCAAACAGG